RNAcentral lists this ribosomal RNA (221 nucleotides) under uncultured bacterium. RNAcentral's name for it is "partial 16S ribosomal RNA". It matches the Rfam family "Bacterial small subunit ribosomal RNA", at positions 1282 to 1500 of the family's 1533-position model. The record is from RNAcentral.
UAGAUCUCAGUUCGGAUUGCAGGCUGCAACCCGCCUGCAUGAAGUCGGAAUCGCUAGUAAUCGCGGGUCAGCAUACCGCGGUGAAUACGUUCCCGGGCCUUGUACACACCGCCCGUCACACCACGAGAGUUGGUAACACCCGAAGCCGGUGGCCUAACCCUUAGGGGAGGGAGCUGUCGAAGGUGGGACUGAUGAUUGGGGUGAAGUCGUAACAAGGUAGC